RNAcentral lists this ribosomal RNA (499 nucleotides) under uncultured Sphingobacteriales bacterium. RNAcentral's name for it is "bacterial SSU rRNA". It matches the Rfam family "Bacterial small subunit ribosomal RNA", at positions 880 to 1382 of the family's 1533-position model. Lineage: Bacteria; Pseudomonadati; Bacteroidota; Sphingobacteriia; Sphingobacteriales. The record is from RNAcentral.
GUUGCCAGCCCGCUCAGAAACUCAAAGGAAUUGACGGGGCCCGCACAAGCGGAGGAGCAUGUGGUUAAUUCGAUGAUACGCGAGGAACCUUACCUGGGCUCGAACGUAAGAUGACUGUAGGUGAAAGCUUACAUCUCUUCGGAGCAUUUUACGAGGUGCUGCAUGGUUGUCGUCAGCUCGUGCCGUGAGGUGUCGGGUUAAGUCCCAUAACGAGCGCAACCCCUACCUUUAGUUGCCAUCAGGUUAAGCUGGGGACUCUAAAGGAACUGCCUACGCAAGUAGUGAGGAAGCGGGGAUGACGUCAAAUCAGCACGGCCCUUACGUCCAGGGCUACACACGUGCUACAAUGGCCGAUACAGAGGGCAGCUACCUGGUGACAGGAUGCAAAUCUCCAAAGUCGGUCUCAGUUCGGAUCGGAGUCUGCAACCCGACUCCGUGAAGUUGGAUUCGCUAGUAAUCGCGCAUCAGCCAUGGCGCGGUGAAUACGUUCCCGGGCCUU